UUGCCUACGGGAGGCUGCAGUGGGGAAUUUUGGACAAUGGGCGCAAGCCUGAUCCAGCCAUGCCGCGUGCGGGAAGAAGGCCUUCGGGUUGUAAACCGCUUUUGUCAGGGAAGAAAUCCCUUGGGCUAAUACCCCGGGGGGAUGACGGUACCUGAAGAAUAAGCACCGGCUAACUACGUGCCAGCAGCCGCGGUAAUACGUAGGGUGCAAGCGUUAAUCGGAAUUACUGGGCGUAAAGCGUGCGCAGGCGGUCGUGCAAGACAGAUGUGAAAUCCCCGGGCUUAACCUGGGAACUGCAUUUGUGACUGCACGGCUGGAGUGCGGCAGAGGGGGAUGGAAUUCCGCGUGUAGCAGUGAAAUGCGUAGAUAUGCGGAGGAACACCGAUGGCGAAGGCAAUCCCCUGGGCCUGCACUGACGCUCAUGCACGAAAGCGUGGGGAGCAAACAGGAUUAGAUACCCGGGUAGUCCG
RNAcentral lists this ribosomal RNA (470 nucleotides) under uncultured Azohydromonas sp. RNAcentral describes it as "bacterial SSU rRNA". It matches the Rfam family "Bacterial small subunit ribosomal RNA", at positions 335 to 797 of the family's 1533-position model. The record is from RNAcentral. Lineage: Bacteria; Pseudomonadati; Pseudomonadota; Betaproteobacteria; Burkholderiales; Sphaerotilaceae.